Molecule: transfer RNA, 86 nt
Filed under: Hyphomicrobiales bacterium
Lineage: Bacteria; Pseudomonadati; Pseudomonadota; Alphaproteobacteria; Hyphomicrobiales
Description: Rhizobiales bacterium (glacier metagenome) tRNA-Leu
Rfam family: tRNA
About the family: Transfer RNA (tRNA) molecules are approximately 80 nucleotides in length. Their secondary structure includes four short double-helical elements and three loops (D, anti-codon, and T loops). Further hydrogen bonds mediate the characteristic L-shaped molecular structure. tRNAs have two regions of fundamental functional importance: the anti-codon, which is responsible for specific mRNA codon recognition, and the 3' end, to which the tRNAs corresponding amino acid is attached (by aminoacyl-tRNA synthetases). tRNAs cope with the degeneracy of the genetic code in two manners: having more than one tRNA (with a specific anti-codon) for a particular amino acid; and 'wobble' base-pairing, i.e. permitting non-standard base-pairing at the 3rd anti-codon position.
Source: RNAcentral
GCGGGCGUGGCGGAAUGGUAGACGCAACGGACUUAAAAUCCGUUGGGAGCAAUCCCGUGGGGGUUCAAGUCCCUCCGCCCGCACCA